RNAcentral lists this ribosomal RNA (806 nucleotides) under Companilactobacillus heilongjiangensis. Its description in RNAcentral is "bacterial SSU rRNA". It matches the Rfam family "Bacterial small subunit ribosomal RNA", at positions 76 to 870 of the family's 1533-position model. The record is from RNAcentral. Lineage: Bacteria; Bacillati; Bacillota; Bacilli; Lactobacillales; Lactobacillaceae.
GAUUCAGAUUGUGGCGAGUGGCGGACGGGUGAGUAACACGUGGGUAACCUGCCCAAAAGUGGGGGAUAACAUUUGGAAACAAGUGCUAAUACCGCAUAACAACUACUUUCACAUGAUCNUAGCUUGAAAGAUGGCUCUGCUAUCGCUUUUGGAUGGACCCNCGGCGUAUUANCUAGUUGGNGAGGNAAUGGCUCACCAAGGCAAUGAUACGUAGCCGACCUGAGAGGGUAAUCGGCCACAUUGGGACUGAGACACGGCCCAAACUCCUACGGGAGGCAGCAGUAGGGAAUCUUCCACAAUGGGCGAAAGCCUGAUGGAGCAAUGCCGCGUGAGUGAAGAAGGUUUUCGGAUCGUAAAACUCUGUUGUUGAAGAAGAACAUGCGUGAGAGUAACUGUUCACGUACUGACGGUAUUCAACCAGAAAGCCACGGCUAACUACGUGCCAGCAGCCGCGGUAAUACGUAGGUGGCAAGCGUUGUCCGGAUUUAUUGGGCGUAAAGAGAAUGUAGGCGGUUUAUUAAGUUUGAAGUGAAAGCCCUCGGCUCAACCGAGGAAGUGCUUCGAAAACUGGUAAACUUGAGUGCANAAGAAGAAAGUGGAACUCCAUGUGUAGCGGUGGAAUGCGUAGAUAUAUGGAAGAACACCAGUGGCGAAGGCGGCUUUCUGGUCUGUAACUGACGCUGAAAUUCCAAAGCAUGGGUAGCAAACAGGAUUAGAUACCCUGGNAGUCCAUGCCGUAAACGAUGAGUGCUAAGUGUUGGAGGGUUUCCGCCCUUCAGUGCUGCAGCUAACGCAUUAAGCACUCC